AUUGCCGACGGGCCCCUGUUUGCUGUCAUCUCGACCGAUCGUCUCUCCCUGUCGUAGUAGAGGGCGGACAUCAUCGUGUAAAACGAAACAGCUGGUUGCGCGCCUUUAGUACUACGUUACAUCGCGAUGUAGUCUGCUUCUGACAGAAGACACGGCGCGCAAACGUCAAGUGGUCGAUGACCUCGCGAGAAGGUCCAUGAUCGCAUUAUAUACCCCCGGAGCGAAACACUUGACCAAGUCGAAGCGCCGCGAAUAAACGAAAAAAAAUAAGAAAGAAAGGUGUGAAACGGCGCGCUGUUCGAAUCGUACUGCUGCGCAAGUGGUGGCGACUCGGUGCUGACCCAGCUACGGGACUCGUUUUUGUGCUGUCCCCCGCUUAUCGCCGUGCGAAACAGGAUCGUGGCCGGUACACGUGGCCUGUCGCGUUGGCUCCGCGUGGAACCGCGUCGCCCCCGAGGGCGCAGUUGCGAGAGCGGUCGUGCAGGAGUAGGACGCGCUCACACGCACUCGGGCGGCUGAGGUUGUAGGCAGCAUGGUUCUGUACGUGGCCCUGAUAUUCGUUCCCGUUGCCGCGAUCGGCUUUUUCACGUACAAGCUGAUCCAGAGCUUGCGGGACAAAGAGAAGAGGAAGGAAGACAAAAAGAAGCAGAAGCAGCAAAAGAAGAAGGCCAAGUGAGAGAACGGGGCCACUGCCAGAC
RNAcentral lists this long non-coding RNA (698 nucleotides) under Dermacentor andersoni. RNAcentral's name for it is "uncharacterized LOC126530728". Lineage: Eukaryota; Metazoa; Arthropoda; Arachnida; Ixodida; Ixodidae. The record is from RNAcentral.